GCUGGGCAUGGUGGCGGGUGCCUGUAAUCCCAGCUACUCAGGAGGCUGAGGCAGGAGAAUAGCUUGAACCCAGGAGGCGGAGGUUGCAGUGAGCCGAGAUUGUGCCACUGCGCUCCAGCCUGGGCAACAGAGCAAGACUCUGUCUCCA
This 148-nucleotide non-coding RNA is filed under the name Homo sapiens (human). The record is from Rfam by way of RNAcentral. Lineage: Eukaryota; Metazoa; Chordata; Mammalia; Primates; Hominidae.